This is a long non-coding RNA of Carassius gibelio (silver crucian carp), 549 nucleotides long. RefSeq lists it as uncharacterized. The record is from RefSeq and is a predicted model, not a curated record. Lineage: Eukaryota; Metazoa; Chordata; Actinopteri; Cypriniformes; Cyprinidae. The transcript has 2 exons.
GAACUGCCUCCUGUCACCCAUCAUACUGAACCCAUCACACUCAUCACAUCCGGCAAUCAUCAAGAAACUAUAUCCUUUUUUCUCAUGGACUCCCCUGUUGCUCCCAUUGUUUUAGGUCACCCCUGGUUGUCCAAACAUAAUCCACGAGUGGAAUGGGGUUCGAACACUAUCACAUUGUGGAGUGAAAGUUGUCAUGAGUCUUGUUUGGUUUCUGCCUGUCCUGUUGUUCCUGUGUCUGUCUUUCAGAAGGAGAUCAUGGCGUUGCCAAACGUGCCCGUAGAGUAUCUGGACCUGAAGGAAGUGUUCAGUAAGUCCCGGGCUGCUUCUCUUCCUCCGCAUCGUCCCUACGACUGUGCCAUAGACUUAGUGUCAGUUCCUGUGCCACUCUCUCCUGCUGCCUCACGCCACCAAGACCCGGACUUCCCACCUACACUCCACCUCAGGCCGGAUUUCUCACCAACCACCGUCUCCCUGGAGUGUUAUCGUCCCAUCGUCUUUGUGUAUCAUUGUUCUACUUGUCUUCAUUUCAUUAAAUCCUGUUAACUCGCA